GCCGACCUGGGACACCUUGACUCCAAGCCCAGUAGUAAGUCCCACACGCCGCAGGGCCUCUCAGCCAUCUCUGCUGAGGAGGGAUCCUUAUUGGCAGCGAGGAUCCUUGAGACCAUCGUCAAGGACAACCUGGCUAAGGUGGGGUUGGCCUGGGACAUCCUGACUGGGAAAGCAGCCGCCGUGAAGUUCAUUGAUGAGACUCAGCAGAUCUCCUCCAGCCUCCAGACACCAUCCACAAAGUAGGAAUCAUGAAGGCUCAGAUCACCCCAACAUAGUGAAGUAUUUGCUGUGAUCGAUAGUGAGGAAUCUCUGCCUCAUCACAAAGCACGCUAGCGAGAAGUUUGUGAAUACCUGCUCACAGCAGCAGGAAAGAGGCCUGAAGCAAAUUCCACCAAAAGUGUCUGCUAUGCAAGCUGUUACCAGAAGUGCAUUGUCCACAGAUAUUGUGUAUUGUCACCAGAAAUGUAUUGUCCAUGUUAACAUGAACAUCACAGAUUGGGUUCAGGAAUAAAUUCGCCUUUCGCAACAAGCUGGAUACCUUUUGUGGCAGUCCCCUUAGGCUGCCCUGGAAUUCUUCUAGGGCCACAAAUAUGAGCUGGUGGAUGUAUGGCGUCUGCGAGUUAUCCUCUAUAUACUGGUAAAUGGAUCCUUAUUUUUCGAUGGACAGAACUUCAAGGAGCUAUAGGAGCAGGUACUGAGCAGGAUGUAUUCCAUUCCCUCCCCCAUGUCCCCGGAGAGUGAAAACUUGCUGAAGAAAUUUCUCAUUGUCAAUUGCAGGAAGAGAGGCCCUUCAGAGCACACUGUGAGGGGUCCAUGGAUGAAUGCGAGUCAUGAAGGUGAGGAACUUAAGCGCUGUGUGCAGCCACUCUCCCACUGGGAGGACCCCCUGCAAACUAAGUUCAUGGUAUCCGUGGGUUACAGACAGGAAGAGAUCCAGGACUUGCUG
This is an RNA transcript of Homo sapiens (human), 946 nucleotides long. It is a transcript of the gene named MARK2 pseudogene 9, with no coding region annotated. NCBI's taxonomy places the organism in Eukaryota, Metazoa, Chordata, Mammalia, Primates, Hominidae. The transcript has a single exon. The record is from RefSeq and is marked validated.